This 467-nucleotide ribosomal RNA is filed under the name uncultured bacterium. RNAcentral's name for it is "partial 16S ribosomal RNA". It matches the Rfam family "Bacterial small subunit ribosomal RNA", at positions 28 to 507 of the family's 1533-position model. The record is from RNAcentral.
GACGAACGCUGGCGGCGUGCUUAACACAUGCAAGUCGAACGAUGACGACCGAGCUUGCUCGGUCUGAUUAGUGGCGAACGGGUGAGUAACACGUGAGCAACCUGCCCUUCACUCUGGGAUAACCUCGGGAAAUCGGGGCUAAUACCGGAUAUGAGCUCCUGUCGCAUGGCGGGUGUUGGAAAGUUUUUCGGUGAAGGAUGGGCUGGCGGCCUAUCAGUUUGUUGGUGAGGUAGUGGCUCACCAAGGCGCUGACGGGUAGCCGGCCUGAGAGGGCGACCGGCCACACUGGGACGGAGACACGGCCCAGACUCCUACGGGAGGCAGAAGUGGGGAAUAUUGCACAAUGGGCGAAAGCCUGAUGCAGCGACGCCGCGUGAGGGAUGACGGCCUUCGGGUUGUAAACCUCUUUCAGCAGGGAAGAAGCGAAAGUGACGGUACCUGCAGAAGAAGCGCCGGCUAACUACGUG